RNAcentral lists this ribosomal RNA (374 nucleotides) under uncultured eukaryote. RNAcentral describes it as "partial 18S ribosomal RNA". It matches the Rfam family "Eukaryotic small subunit ribosomal RNA", at positions 592 to 976 of the family's 1831-position model. The record is from RNAcentral.
CAAUAGCGUAUAUUUAAGUUGUUGCAGUUAAAAAGCUCGUAGUUGGAUUUCUGCUGAUCGCUGUCGGUCUGCCGUCAGGUGUGUACUGGCAGUGUUUGGCAUCUAUUCGAGAUUGGGUGUCCACUUGAUUGUGUGCACUCGAUGUCGGAGCUAAUACUUUGAGAAAAUUAGAGUGUUCCACGCAGGCGCGUGCCUUGAAUACUGCAGCAUGGGAUAUUGGAAGGCCGAUUGAGCUUUCUUGUUGGUUCUCGGUUUGAUCGGAAUGAUUAAUAGGGAUAGUUGGGGGCAUUCGUAUUCAACUGUCGGAGGUGAAAUUCUUGGAUUUGUUGAAGACGGACUACUGCGAAAGCAUCUGCCAUGGAUGUUCUCAUUGA